This 391-nucleotide ribosomal RNA is filed under the name Cryptosporidium parvum. Its description in RNAcentral is "SSU rRNA". It matches the Rfam family "Eukaryotic small subunit ribosomal RNA", at positions 669 to 1064 of the family's 1831-position model. Lineage: Eukaryota; Apicomplexa; Conoidasida; Eucoccidiorida; Cryptosporidiidae. The record is from RNAcentral.
UUAAUAAUUUAUAUAUAAUAUUUUAUGAUAUUUAUAUAAUAUUAACAUAAUUCAUAUUACUAUUAUUAUUAGUAUAUGAAAUUUUACUUUGAGAAAAUUAGAGUGCUUAAAGCAGGCUUUUGCCUUGAAUACUCCAGCAUGGAAUAAUAUAAAAGAUUUUUAUCUUUUUUAUUGGUUCUAAGAUAAAAAUAAUGAUUAAUAGGGACAGUUGGGGGCAUUUGUAUUUAACAGUCAGAGGUGAAAUUCUUAGAUUUGCUAAAGACGAACUAGUGCGAAAGCAUUUGCCAAGGAUGUUUUCAUUAAUCAAGAACGAAAGUUAGGGGAUCGAAGACGAUCAGAUACCGUCGUAGUCUUAACCAUAAACUAUGCCAACUAGAGAUUGGAGGUUGUU